Molecule: ribosomal RNA, 524 nt
Filed under: uncultured Acidobacteriota bacterium
Lineage: Bacteria; Pseudomonadati; Acidobacteriota
Description: bacterial SSU rRNA
Rfam family: Bacterial small subunit ribosomal RNA
Source: RNAcentral
GGCGGCGUGCCUCAGACAUGCAAGUCGAACGCGAAAGUUCCCUUCGGGGGAUGAGUAGAGUGGCGUCCGGGUGAGUAACACGUAGGUAAUCUACCUUUGGGUGGGGAAUAACAACCGGAAACGGUUGCUAAUACCGCAUAAUGCAGCGGCACCACAUGGUGACAGUUGUUAAUGCGGGGGAUCGCAAGACCUCGCGCCUAAAGAGGAGCCUGCGGCGGAUUAGCUAGUUGGUAGGGUAACGGCCUACCAAGGCGACGAUCCGUAGCCGGCCUGAGAGGGCGGUCGGCCACACUGACACUGAAAUACGGGUCAGACUCCUACGGGAGGCAGCAGUCGGGAAUUUUGGGCAAUGGGCGCAAGCCUGACCCAGCAACGCCGCGUGAAGGAUGAAAUCCCUCGGGAUGUAAACUUCGCAAGAACGGGAAGAAUAAGUGGAAGUUAAUACCUUCCAUGAUGACGGUACCGUUUGUAAGCUCCGGCUAACUCCGUGCCAGCAGCCGCGGUAAUACGGGGGGAGCAAGCGU